CCACCGUCAUCCUCUGGACCAUCAGCAAGGACAUCACUUGCUACUCCCUCUUCGCCUAGCCCUGCACUCUCACGGUCUAUCUCGGGAUUGAUACAGCUAGAAAGGUUCUUCCUUCUGCGAGUCUCACAUGCCCAAAAAAAUAUACUUAUCGAGGUAUUUGCAGGCACCCAUGGUCAGACGGAUGUGCAAAUACAUGUGGUCCUACCUAGGACGGAA
Molecule: long non-coding RNA, 216 nt
Filed under: Elaeis guineensis (African oil palm)
Lineage: Eukaryota; Viridiplantae; Streptophyta; Magnoliopsida; Arecales; Arecaceae
Description: long non-coding RNA (EGUI_LNC027386)
Source: RNAcentral